AGUGAACGCUGGCGGCAGGCCUAACACAUGCAAGUCGAACGGCAGCACAGUAAGUGCUUGCUCUUACGGGUGGCGAGUGGCGGACGGGGGAGGAAUACAUCGGAAUCUACUUUUUCGUGUGGGCUAACGUAGGGAAACUUACGCUAAUACCGGAUACGACCUACGGGUGAAAGCAGGCGAUCUUCGGACCUUGCGCGAGUGAAUGAGCCGCUUUCGGAUUAGCUAGUUGGCGGGGUAAAGGACGACCAAGGCGGAGAUCCGUAGCGGGUCUGAGUGGAUGGUUCGCCACCCUGGAACUGAGACACGGUCCCGACAUCGACGGGAGGACGCAGUCGGGAAUAUUAGGCGAUGGGGGAAAGCCUGAUCCAGCCAUACCGCGUGAGUGCAGAAGGACUUCGGGUGGUAAAGCCAUUUUGUUGGGAGAGAAAAGCAGUAGUUUAAUCCGCCGCUGUUAUGACGGUACCCAAAGAAUAAGCACCGGCUAACUUCGUG
RNAcentral lists this ribosomal RNA (492 nucleotides) under uncultured bacterium. Its description in RNAcentral is "partial 16S ribosomal RNA". It matches the Rfam family "Bacterial small subunit ribosomal RNA", at positions 29 to 507 of the family's 1533-position model. The record is from RNAcentral.